CCUACGGGUGGCAGCAGUGAGGAAUAUUGGUCAAUGGACGCGAGCCUGAACCAGCCAAGUAGCGUGAAGGAUGACUGCCCUACGGGUUGUAAACUUCUUUUAUAAAGGAAUAAAGUGGGGCACGUGUACCUUCUUGUAUGUACUUUAUGAAUAAGGAUCGGCUAACUCCGUGCCAGCAGCCGCGGUAAUACGGAGGAUCCGAGCGUUAUCCGGAUUUAUUGGGUUUAAAGGGAGCGUAGGUGGGUUGUUAAGUCAGUUGUGAAAGUUUGCGGCUCAACCGUAAAAUUGCAAUUGAUACUGGCAGUCUUGAGUACAGUAGAGGUAGGCGGAAUUCGUGGUGUAGCGGUGAAAUGCUUAGAUAUCACGAAGAACUCCGAUUGCGAAGGCAGCCUACUAAACUGCAACUGACACUGAUGCUCGAAAGUGUGGGUAUCAAACAGGAUGAGAUACCCGGGUAGUC
Molecule: ribosomal RNA, 460 nt
Filed under: uncultured bacterium
Lineage: Bacteria
Description: partial 16S ribosomal RNA
Rfam family: Bacterial small subunit ribosomal RNA
Source: RNAcentral